Polypterus senegalus (gray bichir) is the source of this 163-nucleotide small nuclear RNA. RefSeq annotates it as U1 spliceosomal RNA. The transcript has a single exon. The record is from RefSeq and is a predicted model, not a curated record. NCBI's taxonomy places the organism in Eukaryota, Metazoa, Chordata, Cladistia, Polypteriformes, Polypteridae.
UUGCUUACCUGGCAGGAGAGAUACCAUGAUCACUAAGGGGGUUCUCCUAAGGCGAGGCUCAUCCAUUGCACUCCGUGUGUGUGACGUCUGCGAUUUGCCUACAUGUGGGAUACUCAAAUACAUAGUUUGUGGUAGUGGUGGACUGCGUUUGCACUCUUUCCUA